Molecule: ribosomal RNA, 575 nt
Filed under: uncultured bacterium
Lineage: Bacteria
Description: bacterial SSU rRNA
Rfam family: Bacterial small subunit ribosomal RNA
Source: RNAcentral
CUUAACACAUGCAAGUCGAACGAGAACGGGGUCUUCGGACCCUUAGUACAGCGGCGGACGGGUGAGUAACACGUGGGUAACCUACCCUUCGGCGGGGGACAACAACCCGAAAGGGUUGCUAAUACCGCAUACGUCGUCGUGGUCUGCGGAUCGCGACGGGAAAGCUAGCCUCUGUUUCAUGCUGGCACCGAAGGUGGGGCCCGCGGCGCAUCAGCUUGUUGGUAGGGUAACGGCCUACCAAGGCGAAGACGCGUAGCUGGUCUGAGAGGAUGAUCAGCCACACUGGGACUGAGACACGGCCCAGACUCCUACGGGAGGCAGCAGUGGGGAAUAUUGGACAAUGGGCGCAAGCCUGAUCCAGCCAUGCCGCGUGAGUGAUGAAGGCCCUCGGGUCGUAAAGCUCUGUGGGGAGGGACGAAAAAACUCGGGUUAAUAGCCUGAGUCUUGACGGUACCUCCUUAGCAAGCACCGGCUAACUCCGUGCCAGCAGCCGCGGUAAUACGGAGGGUGCAAACGUUGCUCGGAAUCAUUGGGCGUAAAGCGCACGUAGGCGGUCCGUUAAGUCGGAUGUGAAA